GUUCUACUGCGACGUUGGUGACUGCCAAUAAUGUUUUAUGAUCUAUGCCUUGUUAAAUUAGGGAACCUAGAGUUUCAGUGGCAGUAAACCGGGCUUGUACUCGGAAACUUUAAACUGGAGUUGUGGUACCCACCUGGAUUCGUCCAGGUCAAAAACUGAGGUAAGACGGCGUCGCGGGGAACCC
RNAcentral lists this non-coding RNA (184 nucleotides) under Phormidium tenue FACHB-886. RNAcentral's name for it is "6S RNA". It matches the Rfam family "6S / SsrS RNA". From Rfam's summary of the family: E. coli 6S RNA was the first non coding RNA to be sequenced, but its function was unknown until recently. It consists of 184 nucleotides that fold into an extended hairpin structure with a large single-stranded internal bulge. The 6S RNA specifically associates with RNA polymerase holoenzyme containing the sigma70 specificity factor. The record is from RNAcentral. Lineage: Bacteria; Bacillati; Cyanobacteriota; Cyanophyceae; Oscillatoriales; Oscillatoriaceae.